GCUAUAUAAGUGGAGCAAGUUUUGUGCUGGAAACAACUGCCAGAGACUUUGCUAUGAACGCAAAAAGACUAUCUGAUGUGGCUAAGGGAUCCGCGAUACACAGAACUCCUAGAGAAGCUGAACGAUUCAGUGGCAAGAGGCCGGUCGUUCAAUGGAGCAAGAACUGGAUAAUUGGCAGGUGGAUCGCGUUGGUCUCUCUAGUCUUUUUUCUACUGGUAGUCGACAUACAAUCCUUCCAUCUUCUCCGUAAAUACAAUCCAGAAGACACAGUUUAUGGUUUGUUCAUAAUGGGGCUUGGGAAUCUGGUCGGUUUUAGUUUCCUAGGUUCGCAGGCUCAAGAACUAAUUCAAGAUGCAAAGAGCGCAUACAAUGUGCCUUCCUGGUGUUACGGGUUGGCGAGCUCCACAGCUCAUUGAAGAUCCAAGACCAGACUGGAAUGAGAUCGGACUUCGUGAUGUACAUGUACGACAUUUUAGUGAUCUGCCGGUUAUGAAAUUCGUCAGAAAAGCUUACUCUGAGCAAGUGUCUCCUUUGAAGGAAAAUCAUUUGUUUACAAAUGUUUGAAUGUGACAUAUUUCAAACAAUUUUGUUAUUAUUCCCCCUUUAUUGUAUAUGUUAUAUAAUUGAUCUA
This is a long non-coding RNA of Daucus carota subsp. sativus, 631 nucleotides long. RefSeq lists it as uncharacterized. NCBI's taxonomy places the organism in Eukaryota, Viridiplantae, Streptophyta, Magnoliopsida, Apiales, Apiaceae. The record is from RefSeq and is a predicted model, not a curated record. The transcript is spliced from 2 exons.